Molecule: transfer RNA, 73 nt
Filed under: Camponotus floridanus (Florida carpenter ant)
Lineage: Eukaryota; Metazoa; Arthropoda; Insecta; Hymenoptera; Formicidae
Rfam family: tRNA
About the family: Transfer RNA (tRNA) molecules are approximately 80 nucleotides in length.
Source: Rfam by way of RNAcentral
CGAAGUGUGGCACAGUAGGCAGCGCACUAGCUUACAAAGCCAAAAGUUCCGGGUUUGAUUCCCGGUAAUACAU